UGUAUUCUCACUAAAAGCCAGUAUUGCCACUGAAACCCCAUCUUAUCAAAACACAGCCUUCUGCAGUGGUGGGAAGAGGAGCCACAGUCUCUCAGAGGGACAUCUGCAAGCCAAGAAGAGGCACCGUAACCAGCGCAGCCUGUACACAACCCCAGAUUUGUGACACUGCCUCGGAACAAAGGCUCUUGCAUUGCUUUUGAAAAAAACCAAACAAACCCCAACUCCAAGAGAGCCACAGCCAAGCAGAUGGGAACCACUGAAAAGCGUGCAUCUGAUCUUUGGAUGAAGAAGGGCGGGUUUCAUGCCCACCGUUGAAAGACUGCUCCAUCCAGUAAACUCUCAUGAAUGGAAAAUGAAGACAGCAAAGGAAGAAAUCGAACCGUCAUGUUCUGGAAAAGGGCUCCUUCCUCUGCUAGCAGCUACUGAGUAAGUGGAAACUCCUUCAAAGGACAGCACAGGCUGGAGAAGCACCCGUGGUUCACUCAUCGAUACCUAGGGAGGAAGGACCUACAGUCUUUUACCUGUGAAUACCAGAAGAGUAAAAUAGCUAUUUGCUUAAGUGGGACUAAUCCUCUAUGAACAUUUUAAUGGUUUACUGUACAAUAGCGAUGAGUGCCUUGGUGGUUUUUUGCUGUUAAACAUUCACUAGCUUUAAUUAAAUAAUUAAUUUGUUACAUAAAAAGUUUCUAGGACUACAUUUCCUAGUGAAAACCWUUGUUGCUGGAUCGAGGCUACCUCUUUGGGACUUGAAUCUCUUCUGUGUUUUCUUUGCUAUGCAGAAUCAGUUACAAUAAGUAAAUGAAUAAUUUAAUAGCGGAACUUAGCAUCUUCAUCCUAUCUGUGAAUUAAGCUAGGGUUUUUUUCUCAAAUGCAUAAAGUAUUGGGAACUCUUUGUCAUAAUCAUUUGGCAAAUACUUCUUGAUUUAUAGGAGUCAUAAGCAAUUCAUUGAGAGU
RNAcentral lists this long non-coding RNA (954 nucleotides) under Dromaius novaehollandiae (emu). Its description in RNAcentral is "lncRNA (ENSDNVG00000015282.1)". The record is from RNAcentral. Lineage: Eukaryota; Metazoa; Chordata; Aves; Casuariiformes; Dromaiidae.